Molecule: unclassified non-coding RNA, 2148 nt
Filed under: Daphnia magna
Lineage: Eukaryota; Metazoa; Arthropoda; Branchiopoda; Diplostraca; Daphniidae
Description: down syndrome cell adhesion molecule-like protein Dscam2, transcript variant X3
Source: RNAcentral
AACGUUUAUUCAGAAAUGGCAACCGUCGGCAUGGGACGGAGGUUGCAACGGCUCAAAUGGACUACAGUUUGUGAAAGUUGGAAAAGUUCCUCGAAAAAGUUUGGUUUUCAGUGUUCACUUUCCAUGCCUCUAGCAAUUAAAGUGAUUUAGAAACAACAUGAAAAACUCAAAAUUUUUUGUUUCGUUAAACAGAUUAACGUCACGUGAUGUUGGCCAAUGGCGACUUGCAAGUUUUGUCUGCGCAUCAAGGCGACGAGAAUCAUUUGUAUCAUUGUCGAGUUCUCGUCCAGCCCAUCAGGCAAACAAUGACCAGUUUCACUGCUGGACGAAUCAUCCUCAGUCAAGAAACCAGGACAAAGAUGGCACAAGUCAUUGUAGAAACUGUGAAUCGAAUUCGAAGUUUGGCGUGGACGAGAUUCCGUUUUACCUUGUGUUUUUCAUGGAUAUCUUCCGCAUAAAAUCAAAUGGUACAAAAGUCUAACGAUUCAGUAUGGCAAUUUGUUGUUGCCACUGGUGACAUCAGCUGCCACGCAAGAGCAUCGUGAUGGAGUGCUGGGACUUGGGCGUCAUCGCCUCAUUGGUGGCACUUUACUCAUCGCUUCCGUCGUCACCGAAGAUCAGGGCCGUUACAUUUGAUUCGUCAACAGUUCCAUUGGAUUAGUCGAAUCACGUACCGAACUCAUUUUUCGUGUCAAAUUACAAGUCAGAAUCGUUGAACGUCGUCGUCGCCGCAUAGAAUGCACAGCACAUUUAAGUCACCGAUCCAGAAACGUCCGUCACCAUCACGUGUCAUUUCUCCGGCCGGUUGUCAGUUGGCUCAAAGAUGGCCAGCGCUUCUUGGUGGGUAAUAGUGGUCGUGUUUCUUCUUCAUCCGGCGACGACGGCUACACCGAUAUGGUCCAGUUAUCCAUUUCGUCCGUCCAACGUGAAGAUGAGGGAAUAUACCAAUGCCUGGCAUCCAAUGACGAAGGAGAUUGGGCCCAAGCAUCGGCCCAGCUGGCCAUUGGAGCAUUUCCUCCUCAUUUGAAAGAAACGUUCAGUCGGCAAGUUGUACAUCCGGGAAGUUCAGUCUCGUUGAAAUGUUUGGCCUCUGGCACUCCGCUGCCUCAUUUCACUUGGACGCUGGACGGGUUUCCGUUAUCGCCCGUUUCCGAACGAUAUUUCCUCGGCCAGCAGCAACAAACGGGUCACGACGAUCUUGUAGUGGCUCAUCUCAACAUAACCCACGUCCGAGUCGAAGACGGAGGCAAUUACAAAGCGUUUGUGGCGUUUGUGCGAACAGUGUGUAGCGGAGAAUCGAGUGGGUCGCGUAGAGCAUUCAGCCAAUUUGCAUAUUUACUUCAAUUCAAUGGCAGUUUGACGAUCGAUCCGUUGGAUAAGAGCAGCGACGCCGGUCUUUAUAGUUGCGAGGUGCGUGGCCAGAACGGACUCUCGGCUCGCCAGUCACUUCAACUCAACAUCCUCGCUUUGCGAAAAUAUUGACUCGGCGCCUUUUUCUUUUCCCCCUCCGCCCUGUAAACUUGCUCGGUCGCUGUGUAUACUCUUUGAUGAUGAGAAAGUCAACAGCGCUUUUCUAUCCGGUCUGGAAGCAGAAAAAAAUUUUAAAAAAGGAAGCAAUGAAAGCAAAUGAGACAGACCGACUAUAUCGAUCCAGCAGCCAGAAGCCAAUUUAAGUCUUUCCCCUUUUAUUUUUGUGAAAAACAAGAAAAAGGAGAUGAGUUAAGUGGGUAGGAAGGAUAAAUUUAGAAAUUUCUCGACGUUUUUUUUGUUGUUGCUUCCGGUCGCCGGAAUUUUGUUAAAAAAAAAACAAAAAACACGAAAAAAAAAAACGAUAUUGGAUACAGAUGCGCCUCAUAUAAUGGCAAUGAGCGAUUCGGCCAUGUUGAAUGCCGGCGAGCGAUUGGCUCUUCAAUGCGCCGUAGUUAAAGGUGGAUUGCCGUUGUUCGUCAGCUGGUCGAAAGAUGGCCAAGUGAUUGCACCGACAACUGCAACGACGACGACUAGCGUCCGUUUGGUGAACGAAUUCACAGCCACGUUGACGAUUGAAUCGUUGACUGGACAACAUGGUGGAUGGCUUUAGAGCAGCAUUAGCCUUUGCUAUAUCUCCACAUCAUGUAAAUGGAAAAUCUCUGGAACUUCUUGUUGAGU